Molecule: non-coding RNA, 1877 nt
Organism: Arachis ipaensis
Lineage: Eukaryota; Viridiplantae; Streptophyta; Magnoliopsida; Fabales; Fabaceae
Source: RefSeq, a predicted model, not a curated record
ACUCUCCGCGUUUCCUUUAUUUUUCCAAAUUCACCAUUUCAAUUUUCACCAACCCUCAUUUUACCCCUGAAUACACCUCGCAUACUUCAACCCUCCUUUUCCAUCGCCGCCGCGCCGCCGUCGCUCUGCUGCUGCCGUCGCUCCGCUGCUGCUGUCGCUUCGUCUCUCCUCUGAUGAUGUCCACAAAGAAUCAGAGGAGUUUCGGACAUUGAUUCCUAAAGGCUUUGAAGUAAUUGGAGCGCUUGCUUACGGAGCCGGCGCCGACACUCAAGCGGCAGUUCAUGCUGCUCGCAGACUAAGAAAGCUUCUAUACGUUGAAGAGGAAGGGGAUAAUCGACUGGUGAUCGGAGCAGUCGCCGCCGGUUCCGGCGAGCUGAAAUUUUUCGUGUCGGAGAGUGGAAAAUCGAAUAGCCUCGAAGAGGUUGAUUCAGUUGUUGAAUAAGAACAUUCGGAGAAAUGUGUGGGAGAAUGGUUGCUUGAUUCGUUGUGAGCUUCCGAUCAAAUUGCCAGUAUAUUAUCCUCUCAAGAAUACGAGUAGUCAGUUUGCUUUGCAUGUUCUGCUGGGGUUGUAUUUUGAAAUUCACUUCAAUCAAUUCAUUAUUUUUGCAUUGCCAUGUAAUGAAGCAAUCUAGGGAUUGAAAAUUGGGGUUUGUGAGCUAGUAGCGUUAAUUGAUAAUACUUUGAUGAUGGAAGUUAUAGAGCACAGGACUUAUGUGACGAGAAGGUCGGUAAUCCUUCGAUGAAUCUUAAGGCGCUGCAAAUGGCGUACAACGAGAUCAAGAAGGGAGAGAACACGCAGCUGAUGAGGGAGGUGGCGCAGAAGAUUAAUGGGAGGUUAGGGCCCAGCUACGAGCUCGAUUCGGCGUGGUGCGACGUGGUGGAUCAUAGGGCGGAGCAGAAGAAGGAGAAGCUCGAUAACGAGCUCAAUGCGUAUAGGACAAACUUGAUCAAAGAAAGCAUAAGAAUGGGAUACAAUGAUUUUGGAGACUUCUACUAUGCUCAUGGUCAAUUGGGGGUUCUAGAUAAAUUAGUUGACUUGACUCGAUUGUUUUCUUUCUGAAACAGGUCACAUGCAUUUCUGUUCCUCUGUUCGCUCACGCAUUUGCUCAAAGGAUCCGUUUUUGAUGUUCAUUCCACUGUUUGACUCUUGUUCCCUGCACAAAUAUCUCACCUUGGAGAAGAAGAAGAUUCACCUUUUCCUGCAUUGCUCUUCCCUGUGAGCUGUAGGAGCUAGAAGAAUUGCUCACCGAGAGAAGGGGCAUCAUUGAUGCGGUUGUCAAUUCUCUUGGUAAAAGUGACCAUGGCUCGCGAAUCUUGCGUCGUGGUAGAAGGCUUGGUUGGAUUACCAAACACAAACUUUCGCGUUGGCUUCUCCUUCUUACUGCACUCUUUUCAGUUUAUUUCAGAGUUUGUGACCUGAAAAUGUUUAUUUACGAUGGUUCUAUUACAGCUAAAAUGGAAUCUAGGUUCCCAGCGACUCACAGUAUACAGGAAGGGCUCAACCUACACAGUAAACAUGAAGAGCUCAACCUACACAGUAUACACAAAGAGCUCAACCUUCAAGAAACUGUUUCAUUAUCUGAAUUUGGAAAACCACCACCUAAAAGCAAGCGCAGAAAGCGUGGUGGUGUACUUGCAUAUACACUCUUGGGAGUAACAGUUUUUAGUUUGUACCAAUUUUCUUGCAAUGGAAUGGUAAUUUUUUAUGGUUGAAAUUUGAUAGUUCAGUUAAUUAGUUGACUCACUUUUGGGUUAGUGUUUGUAACUGACAUUAGUCUAUUAUAUAGGAUUUACCGCUGUUAUCUAUUUGAGUUACUUGCACAAGUAAAUGAUGCGAGCAAAGGGUAUUCUAAGAUAAUUAGAGUAUUAUUUUAUCA